RNAcentral lists this ribosomal RNA (492 nucleotides) under uncultured bacterium. RNAcentral describes it as "partial 16S ribosomal RNA". It matches the Rfam family "Bacterial small subunit ribosomal RNA", at positions 29 to 507 of the family's 1533-position model. The record is from RNAcentral.
AUUGAACGCUGGCGGCAUGCUUUACACAUGCAAGUCGAACGGUAACAGGCCUUCGGGUGCUGACGAGUGGCGAACGGGUGAGUAAUGCAUCGGAACGUACCCAGAGGUGGGGGAUAACGCAGCGAAAGCUGUGCUAAUACCGCAUGUGAUCUGAGGAUGAAAGCGGGGGACCGAGCAGCAAUGUUUGGCCUCGCGCCUUUGGAGCGGCCGAUGUCGGAUUAGCUAGUUGGUGGGGUAAAGGCCUACCAAGGCGACGAUCCGUAGCUGGUCUGAGAGGACGACCAGGCACAGUGGGACAGAGCGACGGCCGAGCCUCCGCCGGGAGCCAGCAGUGGGCAAUGUUGGACAAUGGGUGCGAGCUUUAUCCAGCCAUGCCGCGUACGGGAAGGAGGCCUUCUAGUUGUAAGUCGCAUUUGGCAUGACCGAAACGGUGUCCGCUAAUACCGGGCGCUAAUGACGGUACCUGCAGAAUAAGCACCGGCUAACUACGUG